Molecule: ribosomal RNA, 468 nt
Filed under: uncultured bacterium
Lineage: Bacteria
Description: partial 16S ribosomal RNA
Rfam family: Bacterial small subunit ribosomal RNA
Source: RNAcentral
GACGAACGCUGGCGGCGUGCUUAACACAUGCAAGUCGAACGGAAAGGCCCUGCUUUUGUUGGUUGCUCGAGUGGCGAACGGGUGAGUAACACGUGAGUAACCUGCCCUUGACUUUGGGAUAACUUCAGGAAACUGGGGCUAAUACCGGAUAGGAGCUCCUGCUGCAUGGUGGUGGUUGGAAUGUUUCGGCGGUUGGGGAUGGACUCGCGGCUUAUCAGCUUGUUGGUGGGGUAGUGGCUUACCAAGGCUUUGACGGGUAGCCGGCCUGAGAGGGUGACCGGCCAAAUUGGGACUGAGAUACGGCCCAGACUCCUACGGGAGGAAGCAGGGGGGAAUAUUGCACAAUGGGCGGAAGCCUGAUGCAGCAACGCCGCGUGCGGGAUGACGGCCUUCGGGUUGUAAACCGCUUUCGCCUGUGACGAAGCGUGAGUGACGGUAAUGGGUAAAGAAGCACCGGCUAACUACGUG